Molecule: ribosomal RNA, 301 nt
Filed under: uncultured bacterium
Lineage: Bacteria
Description: partial 16S ribosomal RNA
Rfam family: Bacterial small subunit ribosomal RNA
Source: RNAcentral
CAGCAGCCGCGGGAAUACGGAGGGUGCAAGCGUUACUCGGAAUCACUGGGCGUAAAGGACGCGUAGGCGGAUUAUCAAGUCUCUUGUGAAAUCUAACGGCUUAACCGUUAAACUGCUUGGGAAACUGAUAAUCUAGAGUAAGGGAGAGGCAGAUGGAAUUCUUGGUGUAGGGGUAAAAUCCGUAGAUAUCAAGAAGAAUACCUAUUGCGAAGGCGAUCUGCUGGAACUUAACUGACGCUAAUGCGUGAAAGCGUGGGGAGCAAACAGGAUUAGAUACCCGCGUAGUCCCUGUCUCUUAUAC